AAGGUAUACUAAGUUAAUAAAUGGGCUCAGAAUAGAAUUGGCUAAUUUGCAAGCAGAAAUGAAAUGGUUAGAGAGAGUCUAAUACAGCAUCUUUCAGUGUUGGUACAACAAUUGCUUCAUGAUCCUAAUAAAUGAUAAGAGUGCAAAAGUCUUUACAGAUAAAUGUCUUCUAAUAUAUUUCCAACUGAUUAAAUUGCCUCAAAGCAAAGAAUAGGUUAAGAAUGUAGCACUCAAUAAUUUGGUAAAAUGAUUAACAAUGUGGCUUUGCCUGGAAAUUCAAACAGCUUCUUUGUAACCCUGUUCUAUACAGAGAAUGAAUAAUGCAAUGAAAGAGUAGAGAGGUACAAAAUAGAAAAGUGUGGGGUAUAUACUGGGUACACGGAGAAGAUUGGAAGGAAAGUUUACUGUUUUUUUGUGUUUUGGAGUGUUGGUGAGUUCUUCUGGUAAAGAAACUAGGAGUUGGGACCAAAAAAUGUUUAUAGGCUUUAAAUGACUCUAAAUUCCCCAACUUUUGUCUUUUUUUUUUUUUUUUUUUUUUUUUUGCCAUUUCUUGGGCCGCUCCUGCGGCAUAUGGAGAUUCCCAGGCUAGGGGUCGAAUCGGAGCCGUAGCCACCGGCCUGUGCCAGAGCCAGAGCAACGCAGGAUCCGAGCCGCGUCUGUGACCUACACCACAGCUCAACGCAAUGCCGGAUCCUUAACCCACUGAGCAAGGGCAGGGAUCGAACCCGCAACCUCAUGGUUCCUAGUCGGAUUCGUUAACCACUGCACCAUGACGGGAACUCCUAAAUUCCCCAACUUUAAUGAGCAAAAAGAUGGCUCAGAAAACUCCUCAGAUUGCAAGUAAAGGAUAUUCCCCAAACCCACAUCCAUUGGGAACAAGAAUAAUGGGAAAUAAAAUCAUCCUUAAAGAUGAAGCCAUGAGGCAUAGAGAACAAUGGGCUUUCUGGAGGAAAGAAUGUAGACCCAAUGGAGAAACAUUCUCCAAUACCAAUUUAGGACCUUCCACAGUGCCUGCUCACAGACACCAAAAUAUCUAUGUACCAGUGACUAAUGUGUGUCUCUCAGUCUCCCUUCUAACUCAUAUCUGUUCUGUUCUGUUCCACUAUUAUUACCAGUAUUUUUUAUUAUCACUUAUUAUUGAGUGUACAUGUAUGUGUAUGGUGAGCCUCCCUUAACUUGUCUUUUUAGUUUAUAUGUUUCAAAUGAAAGAGCUGACAUCCGAACCUGGUAUAGAAACUCACAUAUCAGCCAGAAGUCUGAGUGAUCCACAAGCAGAGACAGAAUUGAAACUUUGAGUUGUCUCCUUUGGAGAGUAGUUGAGUGAGUGUGUUUCUUUGUUCACUAAUGGGAACAAAGGAUACUGUGUGACAGAAACAGUCCUCAGAUAACAAUCCCCAUAUAUUCCAUUAGUCCUCUGUAUUCCCUAGCUCCAGAGGCUAGGUGGAGCCAAGAACUAUGAAAACUGAUACAGUCAAUGAAAGGUGAAUAGAAGUGAUACAUAAAACUUUCAGUCUAAGAAAGUUUGGCUCAUAUUUGAUUUUCCAAUCUCUCUCUGUCUCUAUCUUGGCAACAACAAAUAUUUUGUUGAGAUAAUGGUCAUAUGAUGGAAGCAGCUUGGAUCUCUGAGUUGCUGUACAGAGAAAAAUGGCUGGAGAUGUUAGAUGUUAUGGGAUCCACAGUGCAUGUAUGGGAGUGAUAAAUGGACUUUUGUUGUAUUAGGCCUCUGAGUGUUUUUUGUUUGUUUGUUUUUAAACUUCUACAUAUACUCACCUUUCUUGUGUUAAUACCAUUACCAUAUUUCAUGUAAAUUAUGGAGAGACAUACUACUUUCUGGUUUCAGAGUAAAAUAGUAUUUUAUUAAUAUUUCAAUAGAUUUACGUUUGUUCAUUUUCAUUGUUAUAUAAUUAUGAAAUUGAUCUUUUUUCUCUAUUAAGUCCUAAUGCUGGAAUUAUUUUCUAUGAGGAGUGUUGUAUAAUACAUAGACCUAAAAUAAAAUGUACCACAUAAUAACAAAUCCAAACUAGUGUAAAACCUGCAGAUGGUAAUUAUUUUUAAUUUCCCAAUGUCACAGAAAGAUGAUCUCUGCCCUAACGUCUUAGCAAAAAUAAAUGGAACAAGGAACCAAUGAGUUAUUUAAAGGACUCAUUAACUUUCACAUGACCCUAUUUGUAAUUGAGACAGUUAUGUCCUAGAAGUACCCUCCAAGAAAUGAUUAAUGAGGUUUCCAAACAUUCUAAAUUGACUGACAUGGAAAGGAGUGAUCUUAUCCUUUAGCUAAAUCUCCAUGAGGUUCAGGAAAAGAAGACUUACCUUGAAUAAUUCAUAAUAUUGUCUCAUAUUAAGGAUUUAAAAAUGUAUUUAUUUUUCUUAAAGUUUAAAGAGCUCAAUAAACUGUUCAAAGUUAAAGCAAAUUUAGAGAUAGGUAUAUUUUAACCUCACUCAUAUUAGUAGCACUCAAAAUUGUUCUACAGACUAGUUAGAAUCUUACCUACAUCAUAGAUAAUGACAAUUAAUAGGCUUGAUCACAGUAUAUGGCUCAUUUGAAUUAAUUAUAAUUAGAUUGCUACUAAUAUUAAACAAUAGGACCUAAAGACCAGAAUAUUCUGUAUCAAUGAUUAAAUUUUCCUUUUCCCUAAUGUAAAUUUGCUAUAGCUAUAAGUUUGAAAUAAAAUAUUAUCAGUAAAUUUAAGAAAGUGUUGAGUAGUGUAUUAUUGCAAAUGAAAUAAGAAUUUUUCCCCCAAUUAACUGAAUUUUGGAAUUUCUUUGUGGUUAAAGUUGAGUUAACAAUUCUCAUAUUUUAUAUGUAUAACUAAUAUCCUCUUUUAGAAUUUUCCAUCUAGUAAAGUAUAAAAAUUAGUUAUAUAGUGGGAACAUUCAAUUAUAUUUUGUCUCAUUUAUUUAAUAUUCUCUAACAGAGAAGUACAUUGGUAUAAUAUACUUCUAGUGCUCUUAUAUUCAGUUUCUUAAACAUGUUAUAAAUAUAACGAAUUUUUUCAAUUCAUUGUUCAAAUUAAUAACUUUCCAUGUAGAACAAGGAUUUUAACUAUUAUUAUUCAUGUAUUCUUAGACUAAAAGUUUAGCUGAAGAGAAAAUGACUUCAUUUUUCCCUUAUAUUUUACUGUAAUCAAGAAUGCAUUUUCUUAUAAAAGAGUUAACUUUUAUGGUGUAAGAUAUUUGUCCACAGUCAAACUCACUGCAACUAACUAUAAUAGCAAAGAAUAUUUAAAAUGGUAAAAUUAUUAUUCAUCUCUCUGAGAUUUUUCUUUAGACUGUUUCCAUUAUAUACACACACACGCACGCACAUAUCCAAACCAGAAUAUAGAGUUUAUAGCUUAAUUAAAGAUAGCACAUUUUAAUUUUGAAAAGAGAAAUGCUACC
This 3378-nucleotide long non-coding RNA is filed under the name Sus scrofa (pig). RNAcentral describes it as "lncRNA (ENSSSCG00000059060.1)". Lineage: Eukaryota; Metazoa; Chordata; Mammalia; Artiodactyla; Suidae. The record is from RNAcentral.